Molecule: non-coding RNA, 365 nt
Organism: Anolis sagrei ordinatus
Lineage: Eukaryota; Metazoa; Chordata; Lepidosauria; Squamata; Anolidae
Source: RefSeq, a predicted model, not a curated record
UCCUUGGAGGGAACGAAAGCAAGGUUUUCUCGGCAUGCCAUUUGGCCCACAUGCUGUAUGAAGCCAAGGUGGAUGGAUUCGGGGGCGUCUCCUUGGCUGACUAUUUCCUCAACGAAGACUUAUCAGAUGAUAUUGAAUGUCUUAAGAGACACAUCAUUGAAUAUAAAGGCCUGGGAACUUGGUCACAUUGGAGAGACCACUGUAAAGACAAAAAUAUUCAUCACUACAUUGAGGAUUGUGGGCUCGAUAUCUAGGAACCAUGAUCUAAAAUUGUGGAAAUGUUCCCUUUCCCUUGUUCAGUUGGAUUUGACAUUUGUGGAUCAGAUUAUCUGCAGAUUCAGUAUAUAAACAUCCUCUCUCUGGAA